Molecule: long non-coding RNA, 877 nt
Filed under: Ananas comosus (pineapple)
Lineage: Eukaryota; Viridiplantae; Streptophyta; Magnoliopsida; Poales; Bromeliaceae
Description: long non-coding RNA (ACOM_LNC035460)
Source: RNAcentral
CACGUCCGGGGCCCGAUACCCUCCAAGUGCUUUUACUCUCUUGUAGUUCUAUGUCAUGCAUGCAUGCAAAUGACCUACUGAUGAAUGAAUGCGUAGCACCUGUAUCAAACAUGGCCCUGGAGCGAACUCCGUUAAUUAAAACCAUAUCUGCGAGUACAUGACGAUCCUUCGCCUCAGCAGGCUCUUCGGCUCGAGUUUGGGCGGCGAAUACCCGCCCGCUUGGAGCUGAUCUCAUUGCCUCCGGUUGGCGUGGUACCAUCGCACGCCCAGCCGAUGACGCAGCAGGUGGAACUCCCCUAUAAUGUGCCGGAGUCGCCGGAGCCGACGCGACCGAAGGGGCGGGCGAAGCCCUCACUGGACAGCAGCGGCUAAUAUGGCCUGCCUGUCAACACGUGAAGCACCUCCCUUCCCGUUGAUCACACGUCCUUGGCUCAUGGUUCCCACCACAGAUUGUGCACCGCUGCGGUCCGCGGCCCUUGGAUUGCGUACGCGGGUACUUCGGGGGCUUCCUUGACUUGGUUUGAGCUCCCGAGCUACUCUGAGCCCGCUUCUUGCCACCGUCCUUCUCGGACGCUUUUCACUCUUCCCGGAUGUGAGCGUUUCCUUGCUCCGCCCACAACGCUCUAUCGAGCACCUCCGCGAAGGUAGUGAGCUUCAGAAUGUGCACCGCCCGGUAGAUAUCAGCCCGGAGCCCUCGCUCGAACCAAUCGGCUCGAUCCCUGUCAUCCCGCACUACAUCGGGGACGCAGUCAAUGAUGUGAGAGAACUCCCGCUCAUAUUCCGCUACCGUGCGGUUCCCUUGCUUCAACUUUCGAAACUGCUCCUGGAGUUUCUUCUUCUCGCUAUCGGGAAAGUAGUUGACAUAAAACAAUCCCCG